AUGGGACACCCUAACUUAGCGCACAAGAAAUGUGAAAUAUCAUGUGCCGCCCUAACUUAUCCAGUCCGAUACGGAGGGCGCCGAUGCAGUAGAUGCCGUUGCAGCGGGCGGCUCUGUUAUCUGAUUGGGCGCCAGCGAUCGCAUGAUCUUGUUUAUGCGUAGGCGGCUCUUAUCUCUUGUGAGCGCGGACGGCUCGCCGGCUAGGUUUCGGUGUAGGUUUAGAAGUAAGCUUUAGUUUAGAAUUGGACGAAUAAAUGAACGGAGCGUUCAUAUCAACUCCGACACAAGUCGUAAAACGUGUAUUGAUAUAAUUAUAUUGUUGAGCCUUAAGGGCCAACGAAAGAGAGGGCAGUUACCCUCUCAACAUAAUCUUCGGUAGAAGACUCAGUUGCCAACCGCAACCACCGUCCCCCGCUACAAGAGCGGGCCACGGGAACCCGAUCGCUGCCGCCGGAGCCAACGCAACGCAUACCGCAGCUCGGACCAAAAACGCCAUAAAGUUAAUUGGCGCCCAACGGGAUUUAGGAUCCACGUCCCCAAGAAAAAUAACAUGUAAGUGACUGUUCGGAAAAAAUAAAGCUUGUGAGAGAAUUUUUAUCUCCCCUUCGCUGAUCGUUCAUGAGUUGGGACUAUAGAAACAAGGUCGAGCCUAGACUUAUUGUACCAGCCACCAGUUAGAACAGUGCAGAAUCAAUUUAAAAUGGACCCAGCCAUGAUAAAAGCGUUAGUAGAAGGCGCAAUCAACACAGCCCUCGUCGAACAGGAACGACGACUGAGUGCAGAAUUUAGCAGGGAAAAAGUUAGAAAUAGUGUGAGCGAUCUAACUGUAGGUGUCCCUCAGGUGGAAACUUAUAAGAGAGUGACCAUUGACACUAGUAUAAAAUGUGAAGUUAAACUAGAACUUUCAACGGGAAUCAUGAGGAAUAUGUGUCUUGGAGACAAUCUGCGCAAGAUGCAUACGAAGUUUUCAAAAACUACUCUGGUAGGCAGACACACUACG
Molecule: long non-coding RNA, 1000 nt
Filed under: Drosophila guanche
Lineage: Eukaryota; Metazoa; Arthropoda; Insecta; Diptera; Drosophilidae
Source: RNAcentral